CGGAGCAACGCCGCGUGAACGAUGAAGGUCUUCGGAUCGUAAAGUUCUGUUGUUAGGGAAGAACAAGUACCGUGCGAAUAGAGCGGUACCUUGACGGUACCUAACGAGGAAGCCCCGGCUAACUACGUGCCAGCAGCCGCGGUAAUACGUAGGGGGCAAGCGUUGUCCGGAAUUAUUGGGCGUAAAGCGCGCGCAGGCGGUUUCUUAAGUCUGAUGUGAAAGCCCACGGCUCAACCGUGGAGGGUCAUUGGAAACUGGGGAACUUGAGGACAGAAGAGGAGAGUGGAAUUCCACGUGUAGCGGUGAAAUGCGUAGAUAUGUGGAGGAACACCAGUGGCGAAGGCGACUCUCUGGUCUGUCUCUGACGCUGAGGUGCGAAAGCGUGGGUAGCAAACAGGAUUAGAUACCCUGGUAGUCCACGCCGUAAACGAUGAGUGCUAGGUGUUAGGGGGCUUCCACCCCUUAGUGCUGAAGUUAACGCAUUAAGCACUCCGCCUGGGGAGUACGGCCGCAAGGCUG
This 519-nucleotide ribosomal RNA is filed under the name uncultured Bacillota bacterium. Its description in RNAcentral is "bacterial SSU rRNA". It matches the Rfam family "Bacterial small subunit ribosomal RNA", at positions 387 to 896 of the family's 1533-position model. The record is from RNAcentral. Lineage: Bacteria; Bacillati; Bacillota.